This is a small nuclear RNA of Trichosurus vulpecula (common brushtail), 107 nucleotides long. Lineage: Eukaryota; Metazoa; Chordata; Mammalia; Diprotodontia; Phalangeridae. The record is from RefSeq and is a predicted model, not a curated record.
GUGCUGGCUUUGGCAACACAUAUACUAAAAUUGGAAAGAGACAGAGAAGAUUAGCAUGUCAUCUGCACAAGGAUGACAUGCAGAUUUGUGAAGUGUUACAUAUUUAA